This 449-nucleotide ribosomal RNA is filed under the name uncultured bacterium. Its description in RNAcentral is "partial 16S ribosomal RNA". It matches the Rfam family "Bacterial small subunit ribosomal RNA", at positions 29 to 523 of the family's 1533-position model. The record is from RNAcentral.
AACGAACGCUGGCGGCAUGCCUAACACAUGCAAGUCGAACGAGACCUUCGGGCCUAGUGGCGCACGGGUGCGUAACGCGUGGGAACCUGCCUUUAGGUUCGGAAUAACUCAGAGAAAUUUGAGCUAAUACCGGAUAAUGUCUUCGGACCAAAGAGUUAUCGCCUUUAGAUGGGCCCGCGUUGGAUUAGCUAGUUGGUGGGGUAAAGGCCUACCAAGGCGACGAUCCAUAGCUGGUCUGAGAGGAUGAUCAGCCACACUGGGACUGAGCCACGGCCCAGACUCCUACGGGAGGCAGAAGUGGGAAAUAUUGGACAAUGGGCGAAAGCCUGAUCCAGCAAUGCCGCGUGAGUGAUGAAGGCCUUAGGGUUGUAAAGCUCUUUUACCCGAGAUGAUAAUGACAGUAUCGGGAGAAUAAGCCCCGGCUAACUCCGUGCCAGCAGCCGCCGUAA